RNAcentral lists this ribosomal RNA (301 nucleotides) under uncultured bacterium. Its description in RNAcentral is "partial 16S ribosomal RNA". It matches the Rfam family "Bacterial small subunit ribosomal RNA", at positions 509 to 807 of the family's 1533-position model. The record is from RNAcentral.
CAGCAGCCACGGGAAUACGUAGGGCGCAAGCGUUAUCCGGAAUUAUUGGGCGUAAAGAGCUCGUAGGCGGUUUGUCGCGUCUGCCGUGAAAGUCCGGGGCUCAACCCCGGAUCUGCGGUGGGUACGGGCAGACUAGAGUGAUGUAGGGGAGACUGGAAUUCCUGGUGUAGCGGUGAAAUGCGCAGAUAUCAGGAGGAACACCGAUGGCGAAGGCAGGUCUCUGGGCAUUAACUGACGCUGAGGAGCGAAAGCAUGGGGAGCGAACAGGAUUAGAUACCCCUGUAGUCCCUGUCUCUUAUAC